ACGGUUAAAAAUCAUAUCGUCAGGGCACUCAAUACGCUUCGUACUAAAUUACAACUUAGCGGACAUAGCCUGCUAUUCUGGUGGUUGCUGGCUGAAUGGUUCAUGAAUAAUUAACGAAAGCAUAAUUUUUUUUUAAUCCGGCUGUACCCUCUUUCAUUUUCUAUUGUCUUUAACUAUAUGGACAAGACUGGUUUCAUACAGCUCCUGGAUAAAUACCUCAC
This 221-nucleotide unclassified non-coding RNA is filed under the name uncultured fungus. RNAcentral's name for it is "sequence contains ITS1". The record is from RNAcentral. Lineage: Eukaryota; Fungi.